RNAcentral lists this long non-coding RNA (2942 nucleotides) under Salmo salar (Atlantic salmon). RNAcentral describes it as "lncRNA (ENSSSAG00000099447.1)". The record is from RNAcentral. Lineage: Eukaryota; Metazoa; Chordata; Actinopteri; Salmoniformes; Salmonidae.
UUAAAAUAAUGUCUGUGAGUAUAACAAAACUGAUAAGGCAGGCGAAAACCCGAGGAAAAUCCAUCCAGGAAGUACUAUUAUUUUGAAAGGCUGUUUUUCCAUUGAAAGCCUAUCCACCAUACAAAGACUUAGGACCCAAUUCACGAUCUCUAUGUCUUCUUCUACAUGUGGCCAGUCUUUAGGCGUUGUUUCAGGCUUUUACUCUGAAAAAUGAGGGAGAUACAGCACUUUCAAUGAGUGGACAGUGGAAAUUUCCAGACAUGAGCCCAGCACGUGAUUGGGAGCGGGCAUUUGUUGUUUCUCCUUUUCUAUUGACGAAGCUUUUGUCCGGAUGAAAUAUUAUUGAUUAUUUAUGACAAAAACAACCUGAGGAUUGAUUUUAAACAUCGUUUGACAUGUUUCUAUGAACUUUUAUUGUACUUUUUUUCCUUUCGUCUUUGUACCUUUGGAUUACUGAACUAAACACACCAACAAAACUGAGGUUUUUGGACAUAAAGAGGGACAUUAUCAAACAGAACUAACAUUUAUUGUGUAACAUGGAGCCCUGGGAGUGCCACCAGAUGAAGAUCAUUAAAGGUAAGUGAUUCAUUUAAUCGCUAUUUCUGACUUUUGUGAGUCCUCCUUGGCUGGAAAAUGUCUGUAUGGUGUUUUGUGGCUACGUGCUGUCCUAACAUAAUCGCAUGGUGUAAUUUCGCUGUAAAGCCUUUUUGAAAUCUGACACAGUGGCUGGAUUAACAAGACAUUUAUCUUUAAUCCUAUGUAUAACACUUGUAUCUUGCAUCAAUUUUUAUGAUGAGUAUUUCUGUAAUUAGAUUUGGCUCUCUGCAAUUCCACCGGAUGUUAUUUGAGACAAUGCAUUACUGACCAUAACGCGCCAAUUGAAGUCGAACACUGUGGUUGGAUUAACAAGAAGAUUAUCUUUAAAAUGGUGUAUAAUGGUGUACAAUACUUUUAAUUAUGGGAUUUCUGUUGUUUGAAUUUGGCGCCCUGCAAUUUCACUGGCUGUCGUCGAGGUGGGACGCUAGCGUCCCAAUGAUACCAGAGAGGUUAAAGUCCCCAGGCUACUAGGAGCCUGCCUCUGGGUGAGCAUUUUCUUGUUUUCUUAAGGUGGAAUACAGCUCAUUCAAUGCUGUCUUAGUGCCAGCUUCAGUCUGCGGUGGUACGUAAACAGCUACGAAAAAUACAGAUGAAAACUCUCUAGGUAGAUACAGCUUAUCAUGAGAUACUCUACCUCAGGCGAGUAAUAGCUUGAGACUUUCUUAGAUAUCGUGCACCAGCUGUUAUUUACAAAAAUACAUAGCCCGCCACCCCUUGUCUUACCAGAUGCCGCUGUUCUAUCCUGCCGGUACAGCGUAUAACCAGCCAGCUGUAUGUUGAUAGUGUCGUCGUUCAGCCACGACUCCGUGAAGCAUAACAUAUUACAGUUUUGAAUGUCCCGUUGGUAGUUUAAUCUUGCGCGUAGGUUAUCUAUUUUAUUCUACAAAGAUUGCACGUUUGCUAGCAGAAUGGAAGGAAGUGAGAAUUUAUUCGAUCACCUACGAAUUCUCAGAAGGCAGCCCGCCCUUUGGCCCCUUUUUCUCCGCCUCCUCUUCACGCAAAUCACCGGGAUCUGGGCCUGUUCCCGAGAAAGCAGUAUAUUUUUUGUCGCAUCGGGCUCGUCAGACUCGUUAAAGGGAACAAAGGAUUCUGCCAGUCCGUGGAGCACCAUAUUCAUUCAUGGUUUUCUUCCUGAGAGUCUGGCCCACACAUCUCUCUCAACCUCUACGUGGCGGGAUGUCACACGCUGUGGGGGUGGAAUCAUCUCAAGGACUUCAUCAAACUGAUACCAGUCUCGUCUCGAGAAGGCCAGAAAAAUCUGUUUGGUCCUACACGAUGCAUACAUUUCACUUGUACACUCAUUUCAUCCAUGCCCAGGAGGAUGCCUGGAUAAAGGUCAUCAUCAUAUUCCACUACACACCAUUGUCCAAGAUGACCUGGAUUUCCCCACUGGAUUUCAUCCACAGUUUGUGGAUCUUCCUCAUUGGCUGGCUGUUCUGGAGCAGCCUGAAACUGAAGUGCUGUGUGUUAAAGCAUGUACAGUUUAGGUCCUUCUUUGUUGAACAAAGGCAGCUGCCAUCACGAGACAUCAGCUGACCAGGAGCAAGGGUGAUGACCUGGUGUAUUCUCAUGGUGGAGGGUACCGUUUUUAUCGAGCUUGGCAUCAUCUCAAUCUCACAUGCUCCUUUCCUCUCCUUGCUGCUUUUGUAUGCUGUUCUCCACUGUUUACGCUUCUGACGCUGAUCUCUCACUUUAAUCACUGAUCUUUUUCUCUUUCCCUGCCUCAACAUUUCUUUUCCAUCUGACGCUCUCUCUCAAUGUAUUGUUCCCUUUUUUCUGUGUCAGCAUUUUGACGUGCUCAACGCUAGCUUUGUCUUUCUGCUGCUGAUGGUACCAUCAUUCGCUAGAUGUUUCAAUGGAUAACGUUAAAUCAAAGAUUCUUAGAAAAUGUACAUGUAUACACUAUAAUCCUUGAGCAAUUUAGGAUCUAGAGCAAAUUAAAGGAACAACUGAAGUUAGGAGCCUUGCCCACUAGGCUAUCUGCUUUAAAAUAUAUUUUUUGUUCACAUGGAACACAUUACAGCAUGUUUCAUAAGUGAAUAUUAACAAUAUAUAAUGUAUAAUAUGUUGAAUAAUUCAUUUGUUUAGAUGCAAUAUUUAUAAAUAAAGUAAAUAACUCAACCCUGUCACAGGUUUACAACCCUGUUACUAUAUGUGACAGGGUUGAGUUUUUUGGCUCAAAAUGGCCACUGCUCCUCAUAUGGUGAAGGACAGGAGACCACAUGGUGUGCAUGAAAUUCAUAGAUUGUAUAUUUUCAUGGGUUGAAGUAUAAUUUUGAUAAGUACUAGUUUUCCAUCUUUAUUUCAUGUAACAGGGUUGAGUUGGUCAGCUCGACAAUCCCCAC